GAUGAAGAACGUAGCGAAAUGCGAUAAGUAAUGUGAAUUGCAGAAUUCGGUGAAUCAUCGAAUCUUUGAACGCACAUUGCGCCCGCCAGCACUCUGGCGGGCAUGCCUGUUCGAGCGUCAUAUCAACCAUCAAGCCCCCAGGGGCUUGUGCUGGGGCCCUGCGGCUGCCCGCAGGCCCUGAAAACCAGUGGCGGGCUCGCUAGUCACACCGAGCGCAGUAGCACAUCUCGCUCAGGGCGUGCGGCGGGCUCCUGCCGUGAAACCCCCCACUGUAACCCCAAAGGUUGACCUCGGAUCAGGUAGGAAUACCCGCUGAACUUAAGCAUAUCAAUAAGCGGAGGA
RNAcentral lists this unclassified non-coding RNA (342 nucleotides) under soil metagenome. RNAcentral describes it as "partial contains 5.8S ribosomal RNA, internal transcribed spacer 2, and large subunit ribosomal RNA". The stretch from base 1 to 120 matches the Rfam family "5.8S ribosomal RNA", at positions 35 to 154 of the family's 154-position model. The record is from RNAcentral.